Molecule: ribosomal RNA, 23 nt
Filed under: uncultured Trebouxia photobiont
Lineage: Eukaryota; Viridiplantae; Chlorophyta; Trebouxiophyceae; Trebouxiales; Trebouxiaceae
Description: partial 18S ribosomal RNA
Source: RNAcentral
GUGAACAUGCGGAAGGAUCAUUG